RNAcentral lists this ribosomal RNA (253 nucleotides) under uncultured bacterium. RNAcentral's name for it is "partial 16S ribosomal RNA". It matches the Rfam family "Bacterial small subunit ribosomal RNA", at positions 524 to 776 of the family's 1533-position model. The record is from RNAcentral.
GACAGAGGGUGCAAACGUUGCUCGGAAUUACUGGGCGUAAAGCGCGUGUAGGUGGAUUGGUGUGUCAGAUGUGAAAGCCCUGGGCUCAACCCAGGAAUUGCACCUGAAACUACCAGUCUUGAGUGGUGGAGAGGGAAGUGGAAUUCCUGGUGUAGAGGUGAAAUUCGUAGAUAUCAGGAGGAACACCGAUGGCGAAGGCAGCCUCCUGGGCCAGCACUGACGCUCAUGCACGAAAGCGUGGGGAGCAAACAGG